CUCACCCACAUCUGACCCACAGCAGCCCUGACCCACAUCUCAUCUUCUGCUGACCCACAGCAGCCCUGCCCCACAUCUGCCCCACAUCUGCCCCACGGCCUCUGUGGGUCGGGGCACGAGCCGUGGGGCCGGGUCCCACCGCGGGCGCCGCUGCCGCCCCACGGGAGGGGACGUGGGGCCGGGGGGGGAGAAACGUGGGGUGGGGAGGGGGCGACUUGUGGGGCGGGACGUGGUGGGGGAGGGGGGGCAGAGCUUUGGGGGGGGGGGGGGGGUCCGCCCCCCACAUUUCCGGCCCCCCCCCGUUUUUAACCGUGCCUCAGUUUCUCUCUCUUCUCCCUGCUGCCGAGGUCCGAGC
This 355-nucleotide long non-coding RNA is filed under the name Lonchura striata (white-rumped munia). Its description in RNAcentral is "domestica (Bengalese finch) lncRNA (ENSLSDG00000011272.1)". The record is from RNAcentral. Lineage: Eukaryota; Metazoa; Chordata; Aves; Passeriformes; Estrildidae.